RNAcentral lists this ribosomal RNA (421 nucleotides) under uncultured bacterium. RNAcentral describes it as "bacterial SSU rRNA". It matches the Rfam family "Bacterial small subunit ribosomal RNA", at positions 356 to 773 of the family's 1533-position model. The record is from RNAcentral.
GAGGAAUAUUGCGCAAUGGAGGGAACUCUGACGCAGCCAUGCCGCGUGCAGGAUGACGGCCUUAUGGGUUGUAAACUGUUUUUAUACAAGAGGAACCGCUUUUUUUCGUAAAGAGUUUGACAGUAUCGUAUGAAUAAGGACCGGCUAACUCCGUGCCAGCAGCCGCGGUAAUACGGAGGGUCCAAGCGUUAUCCGGAUUUAUUGGGUUUAAAGGGUACGUAGGCGGAAUUUUAAGUCAGUAGUGAAAGCCCGUUGCUUAACAACGGAAUUGUUAUUGAAACUGGAGUUCUUGAAUAUAGUUGAGGUAAGCGGAAUAUGGCAUGUAGCGGUGAAAUGCAUAGAUAUGCCAUGGAACACCAAUUGCGAAGGCAGCUUACUAAGCUAUUAUUGACGCUAAGGUACGAAAGCGUGGGGAGCAAAC